This 254-nucleotide ribosomal RNA is filed under the name uncultured bacterium. RNAcentral's name for it is "partial 16S ribosomal RNA". It matches the Rfam family "Bacterial small subunit ribosomal RNA", at positions 524 to 776 of the family's 1533-position model. The record is from RNAcentral.
UACAGAGGUCCCAAGCGUUUGUUCGGAUUCAUUGGGCGUAAAGGGUGCGUAGGUGGCGCUGUAAGUCGGGUGUGAAAUUUCGGAGCUUAACUCCGAAACUGCAUUCGAUACUGCGGUGCUUGAGGACUGGAGAGGAGACUGGAAUUCAUGGUGUAGCAGUGAAAUGCGUAGAGAUCAUGAGGAAGACCAGUGGCGAAGGCGGGUCUCUGGACAGUUCCUGACACUGAGGCACGAAGGCCAGGGGAGCAAACAGG